This is a long non-coding RNA of Tarenaya hassleriana, 1113 nucleotides long. RefSeq lists it as uncharacterized. The record is from RefSeq and is a predicted model, not a curated record. Lineage: Eukaryota; Viridiplantae; Streptophyta; Magnoliopsida; Brassicales; Cleomaceae. The transcript is spliced from 4 exons.
CGAACAGAUCAAUUGAUACAGGCCCCGGAUCGAUUGAGGAUGAGAAGUAUGUGGAUGAACUAAAAAAGAAUGGAAAAGUGGUGCCUUCAGAAGAAGAUUGGUCACGAGUAAGUGCUUUGUUGCCUUUUUUAAAAGUCUUUUAUGAUACCACUGUGAAGAUUUCUGGUUCUCAGUAUGUGACCAGAAACUUAUACAUGAAAGAGAUUUACAGUGGGAGUACGUAUUAAGAUGAUGAGUAUGAGCGAAAAUGAGAUGAUUCGCUCAAUUGCAUUGAAGAUGAUAGACAAGUUUCGCAAGUAUUGGGGGGAUUACAAAAUAAUGAAUCCUUUGAUUUAUCUUGCAACUAUUAUUGAUCCGUGUCUCAAGAUGGAAUGGAUAAGUUGGGUAGUUGAGAAAGUUUAUAUGGAGCAUGAAGCUAAAGAUGUGAUGGAUAUCAUCGAACAAACACUGCAAAAGAUGUUUAAAAGUUAUGAGACUACUUUUGAGCCUACCAAUUCUAUUGAAACGGAUCAAUCAAGUGGAAGUGAAGUUUUGAGUGCUAAUAGUGUGGAUGGUAUUGAUGAUUGGUUGUUUCAAGAUUAUCUGAAACGUAAAAGUCAUGGGAGUGUAGUAAAAUCAGAAUUAGAGAAGUAUUUGUCCGAAGAAUGUGAAGAGAAUGUUCAAAACUUUGAUAUUUUGUAUUGGUGGAAGACGACGAGUUCAUAGUAUAAGAUUCUUUCUUUGAUGGCAAGAGAUCUUUUGGUUAUUCCGGUAUCGACAGUUGCUUCAGAGUCUGCUUUUAGUAUCGGCGGUCGUGUGAUUAGUCCGUGUCGUAGUUGUCUCACUCCGAAGAUGGUUGAAGCUCUUAUUUGCACUCAAGAUUGGAUUCGUAGUCCCGAAGGAUUGAAUAAUAUUGAAGAAACGUUAGAAGAGAUGCAAACACUGAGAUCGAUGAAAUAACCGAAUUGCUCGAAUCACCAAUGCUAAAUUUGGAUGAUUGAUGUGGCGAUCAACGAAUUUUGGAGAACUAGAGUAUGUAAGGUUUUUCAUGAAGAUUCAACAAAUGUUGUUUUACGUAUGGAGGUUUAUGAUUCUUAAUCUUUUUAAUUUAAACAUUAAAUAUAUUUGUAUCCG